UGGCCAUGCUCGUGGUUCUGGCCAGGAGCGUGUGUGUGUGUGUGUGUGUGUGUGUGUGUGAAUCAGGGAGAGAGAGACUGAAUAGGGAACACUUUGCUGCUAAUGAUUUUAUCUUAGACUAAAUUCUUACAAGGCCUCAGCUUCCACAGUUCUACAGGGUCAGAUGAGGUUUGAGCUGUGGUCCCAUGUUUCUUUCUAAAAUCUUAAGCAGAUGCUGAAUCAGUAAAGCCAAGGAGCCCUGAGAUCUGGCUUGGGGUGGGGUCCUGCCUCCCUCUCACAGCCCCAGGCAGGUGCUCCAAGUCUCAUCUGGGCUCCCAGGAAUCCAGAUGAAGAGGCCCUGGGAUGGAAAGUGUGGGCGGGCCAGCCCAGCAGUGAGCCAGGGAGAAUUUCCAGUACUGUGGUCUGGUGGCUUCUGGAAAGGGGCCAUGGCCCAGAAGCGGGACCCUAACAGAGAGAGAGAAGUCAGGGAUGAGAAUCCCCCAUGGACACAUCUCUCUCCCGCAUCCCAGGGUGGGGCCAGCCAGGACACGCCCACCCAGCAGCCUCUAGACCAGGUGGGCUGGAGCAGGUGGGUGUUCUCUUAAUGCCCGGGAUCUGCCCUUUCCCAGGCUUGGUUACUUCUGUAAAACAGAAGGGGUGGAUAAGAGGGCCUCUCUAGCUGCAGAAGCCUGAACUUCUGGGGUCAGUGUGGCUUUGAGGAGCAUGUUAGCAGCCAUCCCUGCGGGUGGCAUGGGAGGCUGGGAGGUGGCUGCUUGGCUGUGCUUUACACACUGGCCCGUAGUGGAGGAGGCAGGGUGGAGGGCUAUUUUCCCAGCUCUGAUCUCCACAGGCACCCCCUGUCACCCUCCCUCCACAGUCUGACAGAGUCUGAAGGAAGCUUUGACAGGCAGCAUUGCCAGGGUGGAGGGCCUGGCACCCGCUCUCCAGCCUGUUCCAGGAUGUUCCAAGGGGCCAUCAGGGUCCCUUUUUGGCCAUCUGGUGAUGGCUGGAACCAGAAUCUUGAGCUGGCACAGAGGCCACAUCAAAGGCUUCUCCUCCUUGGCACCCAAGCCAAAGCAAGUACCACCUCUGGGCAUUGACCCCAGGGCUUGCCCCAGCCGGUCCGUGAGCAUCCUGGCCUUUAAAAGUCUGGUCUCCUGGGAGGAAGGCAGGUUUGGGGGUUGUAGUCCCAACCAAUGUCCCCAGCCUGGCUUUCCUGCCAUGCACCAGGGGGCUUAUGGAGAUAGUGGGAUUCUCACCACCCACCAGCCCCCCUGGGCAAUGGGUUGGCUGUGGGCAGUCAAGGGCCUGCUGGGUUUGAGAGAGGGUUCCUUUUUAUCAGGGCUGCUGAAGGGGCCAAGCCUGCAUCGGGCUUGGGCCCCUGAGGCUGAGACCAUGGCUCUUCAUUACCCCAGUGCCUGUGUGAACGUUGCCUCAGACAAAGGCAGUGAGCCUUCCCUGCCAAAGGUGCCUGUCCACUACAGGCUCAGCAUCCCGGCUCGCUCCUAGUCUGAGCUGUGUGGGCCUGUGUGGUAGCUUGAGGGCAGCCUGGAGUCAGCGUUCAAGCUCCAGCUUUGCCAUUAAACCUCUGUGUGACUUAAGGCAUAUGACUGCCUUCUUGGGGCCUCUGUUCCUUUUUCUACCAAGGCCCCACAGCUGCUGUCUGAGGACUUUGGGGCUCUGAUACAUCAUUCUAGUCUCCUGAUGGGAACGCUAGUGGGUAGAAGUUGACGGUGGUCUGCCAUGUCCCUCCUCCGUGCCCCACCCUCAGAAGCGUGCUGCUUCCUCAGUGCCCAGGACGGGAGCUCUUGGUGGAUGAGGCCAGGCCAGCCCCCCAGGUGCCAUUUCUAAUCGGAUUCCCAGAAAUUGUGUACCAGGGCCUGGAGCACAGAACCAACUGGCUGAAGCCUCCUGGGAGGGUUCAAACUGUCCAGCUUUAUAAGAAAAGCCUGGAAAGGAUUUGCUGGCUCCAACAAUCUGCCACGGCUGCUGUGACUACGUCUGCAGACUGCCUGCCUCAGGGUGCGAUGGACGUUCCUCCGCUUAUUCAAGCCUGAGAGGCAGCCCCACACAGCCGAGUACCUUGAGAACCGCAGAUUAAGUGCCACUGCAGGAAUGCAGGGCCCUCGCGCGCUGUUGACGUCUCUCUCAUCUCUGUGGUGUGUUUGCGCGUGUGCGCGUGUGUGUGUGUGGGGGGGGACUUUUGUCCGCGGGCACAUUAGCAUGCCUCUCCGGGAACGUGACCCCACCUGUGUGUGCAUGUGUGCCCUCCUCGCGUCCAGGCUGGGCCAUCUGGAGGUUGGUGUGCCUGGUUUUGCCCUCUCUGAGUCCACAGGGUCAGUCGGUGUAUCUUCUAUGUGCCUCUCCCUCGGCCUUCCCUCGCAGUGCCCUGGGCUCCAGAGGGACCCUCCCCACUCCUGGAAGAUCCAGGACCCUCUGGUCCCUUUUCCCCAGCAACCAGGCAGCUGAGCCAGGUCCCUUAGCAGGCCCUCUGAGGAGAGGUGACCAAGAGCCUGGGUGCAGGGAGCAGCUCUCCUGUGGGCCAGGGGCUGGACCACUUGCCUGGGCCAUGGACAUGGUUCUAUGCUCGGGGCUGCAGGGAUGGCCCCAAUCCCACCUCUGUUUAUUCUGUAAACUACAACCUGUAAAUAACAUUUAGCAUUCCUAUUGUAACAAAAUUAAUUUUUAUGAAAUAAAUUAUAUUUCCUAGUCUAAUAAAAAAUUCAGGUUGU
This is a long non-coding RNA of Phocoena sinus (vaquita), 2711 nucleotides long. The record is from Ensembl. NCBI's taxonomy places the organism in Eukaryota, Metazoa, Chordata, Mammalia, Artiodactyla, Phocoenidae.